RNAcentral lists this ribosomal RNA (565 nucleotides) under Fonsecaea pedrosoi. RNAcentral's name for it is "LSU rRNA". It matches the Rfam family "Eukaryotic large subunit ribosomal RNA", at positions 87 to 668 of the family's 3401-position model. The record is from RNAcentral. Lineage: Eukaryota; Fungi; Ascomycota; Eurotiomycetes; Chaetothyriales; Herpotrichiellaceae.
CGGCGAGUGAAGCGGCAACAGCUCAAAUUUGAAAUCUGGCCUCUUGGGGUCCGAGUUGUAAUUUGUAGAGGAUGUUUCGGGUACCGCCUCGGUUUAAAUUUCUUGGAACAGAAUGUCAAAGAGGGUGAGAAUCCCGUCUUGGACCGGCGGUAGGGCCUAUGUGAAACUCCUUCGACGAGUCGAGUUGUUUGGGAAUGCAGCUCAAAAUGGGUGGUAAAUUUCAUCUAAAGCUAAAUAUUGGCCAGAGACCGAUAGCGCACAAGUAGAGUGAUCGAAAGAUGAAAAGCACUUUGAAAAGAGAGUUAAACAGUAUGUGAAAUUGUUGAAAGGGAAGCGCUUGCAACCAGACUUGAGCGCGGCGGUUCCCCCUUGCUUCUGCUUGGGUUACUCCGCCGUGUCCAGGCCAACAUCGGUUCUGGGGGUCGGUCAAAGGCUCUGGGAAUGUAUCUACCCACGGGUAGACUUAUAGACCAGGGUGUCAUGCGACCUCCCGGGACCGAGGAACGCGCUUCGGCUCGGAUGUUGGCGUAAUGGUUGUCAGCGACCCGUCUUGAAACACGGACCA